CCUACGGGUGGCAGCAGUGGGGGAUAUUGCACAAUGGAGGCAACUCUGACGCAGCAACGCCGCGUGGAUGAUGAAGGGCUUCGGAUUGUAAAGUUCUUUUCUAAGGGAAGAAGGAAGUGACGGUACCUUAGGAAUACGCCUCGGCUAAAUACGUGCCAGCAGCCGCGGUAAUACGUAGGAGGCAAGCGUUACCCGGAAUGACUGGGGGUAAAGGGUGCGGAGGGGGUAUGACAAGUUAGUAGGGCAACUCCGGAGCUCAACAUCGGAACUACUCCUAAAACUGUGGGACUUGAGUGCAGGAGGGGCAAUCGGAAUUCCUAGUGUAGCGGUGAAAUGCGUAGAUAUUAGGAGGAACACCAGUGGCGAAGGCGGCUUGCUGGACUGUAACUGACACUGAGGCCCGAAAGCGUGGGGAGCAAACAGGAUUAGAUACCCUUGUAGUC
This 443-nucleotide ribosomal RNA is filed under the name uncultured bacterium. RNAcentral's name for it is "partial 16S ribosomal RNA". It matches the Rfam family "Bacterial small subunit ribosomal RNA", at positions 338 to 795 of the family's 1533-position model. The record is from RNAcentral.